Molecule: ribosomal RNA, 467 nt
Filed under: uncultured bacterium
Lineage: Bacteria
Description: partial 16S ribosomal RNA
Rfam family: Bacterial small subunit ribosomal RNA
Source: RNAcentral
GACGAACGCUGGCGGCGUGCUUAACACAUGCAAGUCGAACGGAAAGGCCUAGCUUGCUGGGUACUCGAGUGGCGAACGGGUGAGUAACACGUGGGUGAUCUGCCCCUGACUUUGGGAUAAGCCUGGGAAACUGGGUCUAAUACCGGAUAUUCAUUUUUCCUCGCAUGGGGAUUUGUGGAAAGCUUUUGCGGUUGGGGAUGGGCCCGCGGCCUAUCAGCUUGUUGGUGGGGUAAUGGCCUACCAAGGCGACGACGGGUAGCCGACCUGAGAGGGUGAUCGGCCACACUGGGACUAAGACACGGCCCAGACUCCUACGGGAGGCAGCAGUGGGGAAUAUUGCACAAUGGGCGCAAGCCUGAUGCAGCGACGCCGCGUGAGGGAUGACGGCCUUCGGGUUGUAAACCUCUUUCAGCUCCGACGAAGCGCAAGUGACGGUAGGAGCAGAAGAAGCACCGGCCAACUACGUG